CCAAAUUUAGCUUAUAUAUACGAC
Molecule: non-coding RNA, 24 nt
Filed under: Arabidopsis thaliana (thale cress)
Lineage: Eukaryota; Viridiplantae; Streptophyta; Magnoliopsida; Brassicales; Brassicaceae
Source: RNAcentral